UGCAUUGCUGAGGAGAGCCAAGUCUAUCAAGGAUUACUGUUGACCCAUGGCUUCACUAGAAGAGAAAGUAAACUGUGUUCUUUGGUUGGCUGAACUAAAAUCUACCACUGCCGUCCAAAGCCUACCAUUUUCUUGGCCUCCACAUUCGCCAGAUUUUACUCCACUGGAUUUCUUUUUAUGGCGACAUAUGAAAACUAAUGUUUGUUCAACCAAAUCUCUAUCUAAAGAAGACUUGCAAGCUAGGAUAACUAAUGCAAUUGCUGGCAUUACUGAAAAUCAGCUUGAAAAUGUUUUCCACAAACUACAGAAUCGUAUUACCCUUUGUAUUAGUAAUGAUGGUGGAUAUGUUGAAAAUUAACAAGAACAAUAAAAAAAGUUAAGUGUU
Molecule: long non-coding RNA, 385 nt
Organism: Trichosurus vulpecula (common brushtail)
Lineage: Eukaryota; Metazoa; Chordata; Mammalia; Diprotodontia; Phalangeridae
Exons: 2
Source: RefSeq, a predicted model, not a curated record